GAUGAACGCUGGCGGCGUGCCUAAUACAUGCAAGUCGAGCGAACGGACGAGAAGCUUGCUUCUCUGAUGUUAGCGGCGGACGGGUGAGUAACACGUGGAUAACCUACCUAUAAGACUGGGAUAACUUCGGGAAACCGGAGCUAAUACCGGAUAAUAUUUUGAACCGCAUGGUUCAAAAGUGAAAGACGGUCUUGCUGUCACUUAUAGAUGGAUCCGCGCUGCAUUAGCUAGUUGGUAAGGUAACGGCUUACCAAGGCAACGAUGCAUAGCCGACCUGAGAGGGUGAUCGGCCACACUGGAACUGAGACACGGCCCAGACUCCUACGGGAGGCAGCAGUAGGGAAUCGUCCGCAAUGGGCGAAAGCCUGACGGAGCAACGCCGCGUGAGUGAUGAAGGUCUGCGGAUCGUAAAACGCUGUUAUUAGGGAAGAACAUAUGUGUAAGUAACUGUGCACAUCUUGACGGUACCGAAUCAGAAAGCCACGGCUAACUACGU
RNAcentral lists this ribosomal RNA (496 nucleotides) under uncultured bacterium. RNAcentral describes it as "partial 16S ribosomal RNA". It matches the Rfam family "Bacterial small subunit ribosomal RNA", at positions 28 to 506 of the family's 1533-position model. The record is from RNAcentral.